GGACUACCAGGGUAUCUAAUCCUGUUUGCUCCCCACGCUUUCGUACCUCAACGUCAAUGCUGGACCAGGAAGCCGCUUUCGCCACUGAUGUUCCUUCUGAUAUCUACGCAUUUCACCGCUACACCAGAAAUUCCGCUUCCCUCUUCCGCAUUCUAGCUGUCCAGUUUCGAAUGCAAUUCCCAGGUUGAGCCCGGGGAUUUCACAUCCGACUUAGAUAACCGUCUACGCACGCUUUACGCCCAGUAAUUCCGAUUAACGCUUGCACCCUCUGUAUUACCGCGGCUGCUGGCAC
This 292-nucleotide ribosomal RNA is filed under the name uncultured bacterium. RNAcentral's name for it is "partial 16S ribosomal RNA". The record is from RNAcentral.